Schistosoma margrebowiei is the source of this 45-nucleotide non-coding RNA. Lineage: Eukaryota; Metazoa; Platyhelminthes; Trematoda; Strigeidida; Schistosomatidae. The record is from Rfam.
AUCUAGCUGACGAGUCCCAAACAGGACUAAACGCACGUGAUGGAU